Molecule: long non-coding RNA, 1205 nt
Filed under: Ananas comosus (pineapple)
Lineage: Eukaryota; Viridiplantae; Streptophyta; Magnoliopsida; Poales; Bromeliaceae
Description: long non-coding RNA (ACOM_LNC020867)
Source: RNAcentral
AAAAUUCAACUCGUGUUCGGCUCGUUAAUAAACGAGCCGAAUACGAGCUGGCUUAUGAGCUGGCCAACGAAAAAUAAGUUAAAUAAAUUAAAUUGGAUAUUUAUAUAAAAUAAAGUUAUAACAUGUUACCUAUUAGACUUUGAUCUAAUGGUUGGAACUUUAUAUGUAAAUGAGCUUUUUUAUAAUUGAAUUCUGCUUUAUAUUCUUUUUUACUAAAAAUCAAAUAAUAAAAAUAUAUAUAUUAUAUAUAUAAUUACUUAUUUAUAUAUAUAAAUAUAAAUUAUAUAAAUUAUAUAAAUAUAAAAUAUGUGUAUACGUCCUGUUAUCGAGCCCAACAUGAGCGAGCUGAUCCUAGCUCAUGUUAGGCUCGUUUGUUAAACGAGCUGAAAAAUUCAGCUCAUGCAUGUUCGGCUCGUUUACUCAACGAGCGAUUCGAUUUCGAGCUCAUUUCGAGCCGAAUACGAGCUGGCUUGCGAACAAUGAGCUGGAUUAUCACCCUAACAUUCAACUAAUAAUAAUUAGUUAUAACCGACUGUCCCUAACGCAAGUAGCAAAGUACUUGGUAGUUGAUACUCGAGCCUUCAAGUUCGAAUUCUUUCCAGUUAAAGUGGGUAGCAUGCUAUAUUUCUCUCUUUCAAACAAAAAAAGUAUUUUAGUAGUUUACUUUAAGAAAGUUAUACUCUUUAAAUAAAAGUUGCACCCUUUCGUUUAAAAAAAAUAUUUUAGUAGUUUAAUUUUAGUAGUUUAUAUCUCAAAGAGUGCAAUAAAAGAAGAAAUAAUAUAAAUAUCUCUCAAAAAGUGCAACUUUCGUUUAAAGAAUGCAACUUUCAUCUUACAAAACGCAGUUUAUAUCUCAAAGAAUGCAAUAAGAGGAGAAACAGUAUAAAGAUCUUUCAAAGAGUGCAAUUUUCGUUUGAAAAAUGUAAUUUUCAUCUUAAAAGGUGUAGUUUACAUCUUAAAUAGUACAACUUACGAUCAUAAUUGUAUAACGUUUUUUUAAAACAAUGUAAUUUCAUCUUAACAGUACAACUUCAUCUUUUUCUUCCUUCUUCUCUGAUUUUCUUCAUUAUUCUUUAGUUUUUGGCUUUUAGUUAAUUUUUUUUUUAUUUUAAACAAAUAAAAAUGCUAAUCCAGAGAUACUCCCGUGCACUCCUUGCCCUCCUCGCCUCCGACAUCGCCAAAGCUGCGCUCGUCGCCGCCCUUUG